UACGUAGGGUGCGAGCGUUGCCCGGAUUUAUUGGGCGUAAAGGGCGCGCAGGCGGCCACGCGCGUCCGUUGUGAAAUCGCUCGGCUCAACUGGGCGAGGUCAGCGGAUACGGCGUGGCUGGAGCAAGCUAGGGGGCAAUGGAAUUCCCGGUGUAGUGGUGGAAUGCGUAGAUAUCUGGAGGAACACCGGUGGCGAAGGCGGCAUCCUGGACCAAUUCUGACGCUGAGUGAGCGAAAGCCAGGGGAGCAAACGGG
This 254-nucleotide ribosomal RNA is filed under the name uncultured bacterium. RNAcentral's name for it is "partial 16S ribosomal RNA". It matches the Rfam family "Bacterial small subunit ribosomal RNA", at positions 524 to 776 of the family's 1533-position model. The record is from RNAcentral.